AGAGCGAACGCUGGCGGCAGGCCUAAUACAUGCAAGUCGAACGCACCUUCGGGUGAGUGGCGGACGGGUGAGUAACACGUGGGAACGUGCCCUUUGGUUCGGAAUAAUCCGGGGAAACCUGGCCUAAUACCGAAUGUGCCCCCUCCUUAACCAGGGGGGUGGGAAAGAUUUAUCGCCAUUGGAGCGGCCCGCGUCUGAUUAGCUAGUUGGUGAGGUAAAGGCCCACCAAGGCUACGAUCAGUAGCUGGUCUGAGAGGAUGACCAGCCUCACUGGGACUGAGACACGGCCCAGACUCCUACGGGAGGCAGCAGUGGGGAAUAUUGGACAAUGGGCGCAAGCCUGAUCCAGCCAUGCCGCGUGGGUGAUGAAGGCCCUAGGGUUGUAAAGCCCUUUCGGCGGGGAAGAUAAUGACGGUACCCGCAGAAGAAGCCCGGCUAACUUCGUGCCAGCAGCCAC
RNAcentral lists this ribosomal RNA (457 nucleotides) under uncultured bacterium. Its description in RNAcentral is "SSU rRNA". It matches the Rfam family "Bacterial small subunit ribosomal RNA", at positions 26 to 518 of the family's 1533-position model. The record is from RNAcentral.